GUCUACGGCCAUACCACUCUGAACGCGCCCGAUCUCGUCUGAUCUCCGAAGCUAAGCAGGGUUGGGCCUGGUUAGUAUUUGGAUGGGAGACAAUCAAGAGGCAGAAUUUGUUUGUU
This 116-nucleotide ribosomal RNA is filed under the name Otolemur garnettii (small-eared galago). Lineage: Eukaryota; Metazoa; Chordata; Mammalia; Primates; Galagidae. The record is from RNAcentral.